UUUGGAGAUAUCGCACUAUCGCAGCGAAACGGCAAAACACAAUGUUAUCGAUUUACGACCAUGUGUCCAUCAACGGGCAGCACUUCUGCAAGUAUAUUCAUCGUAUCCCGUACGAUCGCAUCACUCACCUGGUCGUCUUUGGCGACGUCAAAAUUAUAAAGUGCAAUAUAGACGCACCAUCCCACGAUCUCGUGAGUUUUAUUAUGUGUGUUACAUCUCUGUUCCUAAAAGGAUAAUCAGUUUCUGAACGUAACACACGACGUCAUUCGUCAUGCGCGACCCACCUGAGGUGUCGGGAGUAAAAGAAACUAUUUAUUAAUCAGAAAACACGUGUUUAAUAGAUGAAGACCAGAUUACGACUAGUAUUUUCUUAGAUCACUACACUACACCUUACCUACACCCAAAUAAAAUUAAAAAAAAAAUGAUUAUAAUUUUUUUAUUA
This is a long non-coding RNA of Helicoverpa zea (corn earworm), 442 nucleotides long. RefSeq lists it as uncharacterized. The record is from RefSeq and is a predicted model, not a curated record. Lineage: Eukaryota; Metazoa; Arthropoda; Insecta; Lepidoptera; Noctuidae. The transcript has 2 exons.